RNAcentral lists this long non-coding RNA (513 nucleotides) under Bos grunniens (domestic yak). RNAcentral's name for it is "lncRNA (ENSBGRG00000016659.1)". The record is from RNAcentral. Lineage: Eukaryota; Metazoa; Chordata; Mammalia; Artiodactyla; Bovidae.
UGAGGGUGGGCGGGCGGGGGAUAUGGUUGUGUUCGAAGGUAGGAAACCAGGAUUUAACAGUGGUGCAGGCUGAGCCAGGCCCCAGGAACUCUGUUCUUCCCCAGUGGAACCGAUCUCUUCAUGGGAGGAGGACCGCAAGUUCGUCCUGCGAGCCUGGUGUCUUGUCUUCAUCAUCCUGGCAACCGCGAUGCUGCUCAGCGUGCUGGACGGGCGUAUGGCCUACCUGCAGGCGCCUACACCGGCUCGUGGGCUUCUGGACCAACUGCAAGAAGCAUACAUGUGCCGACCUGCGCCAAGUCACGGUUCUCAUCCACAUGAGCAUGGGCUUCAUGAUCCUGGCCGUGAUCCUGGCUCUAGUUCUCCUCCUGGCCAUGGGCUUCUCCUUCCGGCCAGCACUCCGCCGUCUUAACAAGACUGACCUCGUCUUCAGUACCCUCAGCUCCUUCACUGUCAUGCAGGAUGGGAGAGGAUGUCUCUGGCUCGCUUCUCUUUCUGGAGGUCUCUGGGUCCCUG